RNAcentral lists this ribosomal RNA (450 nucleotides) under uncultured bacterium. Its description in RNAcentral is "partial 16S ribosomal RNA". It matches the Rfam family "Bacterial small subunit ribosomal RNA", at positions 354 to 796 of the family's 1533-position model. The record is from RNAcentral.
GUGGGGAAUAUUGGACAAUGGGCGCAAGCCUGAUCCAGCAAUGCCGCGUGCAGGAAGAAGGCCUUCGGGUUGUAAACUGCUUUUGUACGGAACGAAACGGUCCUGGCUAAUAUCCGGGGCUAAUGACGGUACCGUAAGAAUAAGCACCGGCUAACUACGUGCCAGCAGCCGCGGUAAUACGUAGGGUGCGAGCGUUAAUCGGAAUUACUGGGCGUAAAGCGUGCGCAGGCGGUGCUGUAAGACAGGCGUGAAAUCCCCGGGCUCAACCUGGGAAUUGCGCUUGUGACUGCAGUGCUGGAGUACGGCAGAGGGGGAUGGAAUUCCGCGUGUAGCAGUGAAAUGCGUAGAUAUGCGGAGGAACACCGAUGGCGAAGGCAGUCCCCUGGGCCUGUACUGACGCUCAUGCACGAAAGCGUGGGGAGCAAACAGGAUUAGAUACCCGAGUAGUCC